Molecule: ribosomal RNA, 578 nt
Filed under: Escherichia coli ISC7
Lineage: Bacteria; Pseudomonadati; Pseudomonadota; Gammaproteobacteria; Enterobacterales; Enterobacteriaceae
Description: SSU rRNA
Rfam family: Bacterial small subunit ribosomal RNA
Source: RNAcentral
GGUUGUGCCCUUGAGGCGUGGCUUCCGGAGCUAACGCGUUAAGUCGACCGCCUGGGGAGUACGGCCGCAAGGUUAAAACUCAAAUGAAUUGACGGGGGCCCGCACAAGCGGUGGAGCAUGUGGUUUAAUUCGAUGCAACGCGAAGAACCUUACCUGGUCUUGACAUCCACGGAAGUUUUCAGAGAUGAGAAUGUGCCUUCGGGAACCGUGAGACAGGUGCUGCAUGGCUGUCGUCAGCUCGUGUUGUGAAAUGUUGGGUUAAGUCCCGCAACGAGCGCAACCCUUAUCCUUUGUUGCCAGCGGUCCGGCCGGGAACUCAAAGGAGACUGCCAGUGAUAAACUGGAGGAAGGUGGGGAUGACGUCAAGUCAUCAUGGCCCUUACGACCAGGGCUACACACGUGCUACAAUGGCGCAUACAAAGAGAAGCGACCUCGCGAGAGCAAGCGGACCUCAUAAAGUGCGUCGUAGUCCGGAUUGGAGUCUGCAACUCGACUCCAUGAAGUCGGAAUCGCUAGUAAUCGUGGAUCAGAAUGCCACGGUGAAUACGUUCCCGGGCCUUGUACACACCGCCCGUCAC